AAGGUAAUUGAUUUUGUUACCUAUUUUUAGGUUAAUUAAUACUAAACAUGUAAAUUUUAAUAUUAAAAUUAUUUUUAUUAAAUAUAAAAUUAGUUUUUGUUUUUCAGUUUUUAAUAUUACUUAUUUAAUAUAAUAAAAUGUAGUAAUUAUUUAUUAAUACUAACAAAUUUUAGUGCCAGCAGUUGCGGUUAUUCUAAUAGUAUAUUCUAAAAUUUUUAGGUUAGGUAUUAUAUUUAAAAUAAAAUUUUAUUAAUAAAUAUAUUUAUUAAGUGAAAUUUUAAAUAUAAAUUUUAGUAAAGGUAAAUUAUAUAUUAAGUUAAUUUUAAAACUAGGAUUAGAUACCCUAUUAUAUUUUUAUAAAUUUUAUAACCUUAUUAUUAAUAGUUUAUUCUUUAAAAUAAAAAAAUUUGGCGGUAAUUAUUAAUUGUUCAGAGGAACCUGUUUUUUAAUUGAUAAUCCACGAUUUAUUUUACCUUACAAUUUUCUUAUAUACCGCUAUCAUUGAAUAUUUUAUUAGAAAAUUUUCAAUAAUUAUUUUAAUAUAAAAUGUUAGGUCAAGGUUUAGUUUAGUAAGGUUAAAAUGGGUUACAUUAAUUUUAAUUUUGGAUUUUAAAUAUUGAAGUUUAAAUAAAAUUGGAUUUGAUUGUAAUAUUUAAAUUUAUAUUUUUUAUGAAAUUAUUAUGAUUAUGUACAUAUCGCCCGUCAUUCUCAUAAAUUGGGACAAGUCGUAACAAAGUAGAGGUAUUGGAAAAUGUUUCUGGCUUAAA
Molecule: non-coding RNA, 767 nt
Filed under: Stephanitis chinensis
Lineage: Eukaryota; Metazoa; Arthropoda; Insecta; Hemiptera; Tingidae
Source: RNAcentral